Molecule: ribosomal RNA, 779 nt
Filed under: uncultured Acidimicrobiales bacterium
Lineage: Bacteria; Bacillati; Actinomycetota; Acidimicrobiia; Acidimicrobiales
Description: bacterial SSU rRNA
Rfam family: Bacterial small subunit ribosomal RNA
Source: RNAcentral
AGAGUUUGAUCAUGGCUCAGGACGAACGCUGGCGGCGCGCCUAACACAUGCAAGUCGAGCGAGAACUUCAGAAGGGGUAACCCUUCUGAAGGGACAGCGGCGAACGGGUGAGUAACACGUGAGGAACCUGCCCUAGACUCUGGGAUAACAGCGGGAAACCGCUGCUAAUACCGGAUACUCCAUUUGUUUCGCAUGAAGCGGAUGGGAAAGAAUUUCGGUCUGGGAUGGCCUCGCGGCCUAUCAGCUUGUUGGUGGGGUAACGGCCUACCAAGGCGACGACGGCUAGCUGGUCUGAGAGGACGACCAGCCACACUGGGACUGAGACACGGCCCAGACUCCUACGGGAGGCAGCAGUGGGGAAUCUUGCGCAAUGGGCGAAAGCCUGACGCAGCAACGCCGCGUGGGGGAUGAAGGCCUUCGGGUUGUAAACCCCUUUCAGCAGGGACGAAUUUGACGGUACCUGCAGAAGAAGCCCCGGCCAACUACGUGCCAGCAGCCGCGGUAAUACGUAGGGGGCGAGCGUUGUCCGGAUUUAUUGGGCGUAAAGAGCUCGUAGGCGGCUUGGCAAGUCGGGUGUGAAACCUCCAGGCUCAACCUGGAGACGCCACUCGAUACUGCUAUGGCUAGAGUCCGGUAGGGGACCACGGAAUUCCUGGUGUAGCGGUGAAAUGCGCAGAUAUCAGGAGGAACACCGGUGGCGAAGGCGGUGGUCUGGGCCGGCACUGACGCUGAGGAGCGAAAGCGUGGGUAGCAAACAGGAUUAGAUACCCUGGUAGUCC